This 275-nucleotide long non-coding RNA is filed under the name Gossypium raimondii (Peruvian cotton). RNAcentral describes it as "long non-coding RNA (GRAI_LNC010755)". Lineage: Eukaryota; Viridiplantae; Streptophyta; Magnoliopsida; Malvales; Malvaceae. The record is from RNAcentral.
GUUAGGUUUGUAUUGGGUUGAGAUUUGGGCUUUGGCUGGUGUUGGGUUUGUAUUUCAGGUUAAUUUGGGGCUUAAUGGGUUUAUUGUAUUUUGGGUUUGGGUAAAUUAAUCGGAUCUGCUAUUGUAACAAAACUGGACAUUUAUUUAUUUUUUAUUUUAUUUUAUUAUUUUAUGUAUGUAGGCCGGGCAUAAAUUGGGUAUUACACCCGGAAUUGGAACUCAAACCAUUACCGUAACAUUUAAGGAUUCUUAUAGAGGAAAAGGCAUAUCCAAAU